GACGAACGCUGGCGGCGUGCCUAAUACAUGCAAGUAGAACGCUGAUGGAGGAGCUUGCUUCUCUGGAUGAGUUGCGAACGGGUGAGUAACGCGUAGGUAACCUGCCUGGUAGCGGGGGAUAACUAUUGGAAACGAUAGCUAAUACCGCAUAAUAGCAGUUGUUGCAUGACAACUGUUUGAAAGGUGCAAUUGCACCACUACCAGAUGGACCUGCGUUGUAUUAGCUAGUUGGUGGGGUAACGGCUCACCAAGGCGACGAUACAUAGCCGACCUGAGAGGGUGAUCGGCCACACUGGGACUGAGACACGGCCCAGACUCCUACGGGAGGCAGCAGUAGGGAAUCUUCGGCAAUGGACGGAAGUCUGACCGAGCAACGCCGCGUGAGUGAAGAAGGUUUUCGGAUCGUAAAGCUCUGUUGUAAGAGAAGAACGAGUGUGAGAGUGGAAAGUUCACACUGUGACGGUAGCUUACCAGAAAGGGACGGCUAACUACGUG
Molecule: ribosomal RNA, 495 nt
Filed under: uncultured bacterium
Lineage: Bacteria
Description: partial 16S ribosomal RNA
Rfam family: Bacterial small subunit ribosomal RNA
Source: RNAcentral